GAUGAACGCUGGCGGCGUGCCUAAUACAUGCAGGUCGAGCGAACAGACGAGGAGCUUGCUCCUCUGACGUUAGCGGCGGACGGGUGAGUAACACGUGGAUAACCUACCUAUAAGACUGGGAUAACUUCGGGAAACCGGAGCUAAUACCGGAUAAUAUAUUGAACCGCAUGGUUCAAUAGUGAAAGACGGUUUUGCUGUCACUUAUAGAUGGAUCCGCGCCGCAUUAGCUAGUUGGUAAGGUAACGGCUUACCAAGGCGACGAUGCGUAGCCGACCUGAGAGGAUGAACAGACACAAUGGAACGGAGAAAGGGGCCAGAGGACUACGGGAGGAAGCAGUGGGGAAGAUUGGACAAUGGGGGCAAGCCUGAUGAAGAGAUAAAGCGGGGGUGAAGAAGGAAUUCGGGUUGUAAAGAACGAUUGUUGGGAAAGAAAAGAAGAAGGGUAAGACCCAGCUGAGCUGACGGGACCAAAAGAAGAAGCACCGGCUAACGGAGUG
RNAcentral lists this ribosomal RNA (497 nucleotides) under uncultured bacterium. RNAcentral's name for it is "partial 16S ribosomal RNA". It matches the Rfam family "Bacterial small subunit ribosomal RNA", at positions 28 to 507 of the family's 1533-position model. The record is from RNAcentral.